RNAcentral lists this ribosomal RNA (169 nucleotides) under Shigella flexneri. RNAcentral describes it as "partial 16S ribosomal RNA". It matches the Rfam family "Bacterial small subunit ribosomal RNA", at positions 1377 to 1533 of the family's 1533-position model. The record is from RNAcentral. Lineage: Bacteria; Pseudomonadati; Pseudomonadota; Gammaproteobacteria; Enterobacterales; Enterobacteriaceae.
GGCCUUGUACACACCGCCCGUCACACCAUGGGAGUGGGUUGCAAAAGAAGUAGGUAGCUUAACCUUCGGGAGGGCGCUUACCACUUUGUGAUUCAUGACUGGGGUGAAGUCGUAACAAGGUAACCGUAGGGGAACCUGCGGUUGGAUCACCUCCUUACCUUAAAGAAGC